This 492-nucleotide ribosomal RNA is filed under the name uncultured bacterium. Its description in RNAcentral is "partial 16S ribosomal RNA". It matches the Rfam family "Bacterial small subunit ribosomal RNA", at positions 29 to 507 of the family's 1533-position model. The record is from RNAcentral.
AGUGAACGCUGGCGGUAUGCCUAACACAUGCAAGUCGAACGGCAGCACAGUAAGAGCUUGCUCUUACGGGUGGCGAGUGGCGGACGGGUGAGGAAUACAUCGGAAUCUACUUUUUCGUGGGGGAUAACGUAGGGAAACUUACGCUAAUACCGCAUACGACUUACCGGUGAAAGCAGGGGAUCUUCGGACCUUGCGCGAUUGAUUGAGCCGAUGUCGGAUUAGCUAGUUGGUGGGGUAAAGGCCCACCAAGGCGACGAUCCGUAGCUGGUCUGAGAGGAUGAUCAGCCACACUGGAACUGAGACACGGUCCAGACUCCUACGGGAGGCAGCAGUGGGGAAUAUUGGACAAUGGGCGCAAGCCUGAUCCAGCAAUACCGCGUGGGUGAAGAAGGCCUUCGGUUUGUAAAGCCCUUUUGUUGGGAAAGAAAAGCAGCAGGUUAAUACCCCGCUGUUCUGACGGUACCCAAAGAAUAAGCCCCGGCUAACUUCGUG